AUUGAACGCUGGCGGCAGGCCUAACACAUGCAAGUCGGACGGUAGCACAGAGGAGCUUGCUCCUUGGGUGACGAGUGGCGGACGGGUGAGUAAUGUCUGGGGAUCUGCCCGAUAGAGGGGGAUAACCACUGGAAACGGUGGCUAAUACCGCAUAACGUCGCAAGACCAAAGAGGGGGACCUUCGGGCCUCUCACUAUCGGAUGAACCCAGAUGGGAUUAGCUAGUGGGCGGGGUAAUGGCCCACCUAGGCGACGAUCCCUAGCUGGUCUGAGAGGAUGACCAGCCACACUGGAACUGAGACACGGUCCAGACUCCUACGGGAGGCAGCAGUGGGGAAUAUUGCACAAUGGGCGCAAGCCUGAUGCAGCCAUGCCGCGUGUAUGAAGAAGGCCUUCGGGUUGUAAAGUACUUUCAGCGGGGAGGAAGGGAGUAAAGUUAAUACCUUUGCUCAUUGACGUUACCCGCAGAAGAAGCACCGGCUAACUCCGUGCCAGCAGCCGCGGUAAUACGGAGGGUGCAAGCGUUAAUCGGAAUUACUGGGCGUAAAGCGCACGCAGGCGGUUUGUUAAGUCAGAUGUGAAAUCCCCGGGCUUAACCUGGGAACUGCAUUUGAAACUGGCAGGCUUGAGUCUUGUAGAGGGGGGUAGAAUUCCAGGU
This 657-nucleotide ribosomal RNA is filed under the name uncultured Shigella sp. RNAcentral's name for it is "bacterial SSU rRNA". It matches the Rfam family "Bacterial small subunit ribosomal RNA", at positions 28 to 674 of the family's 1533-position model. Lineage: Bacteria; Pseudomonadati; Pseudomonadota; Gammaproteobacteria; Enterobacterales; Enterobacteriaceae. The record is from RNAcentral.